UUUAACUGAAGAGUUUGAUCAUGGCUCAGAUUGAACGCUGGCGGCAGGCUUAACACAUGCAAGUCGAGCGGGGGAAAGUACUUCGGUACUAACCUUAGCGGCGGACGGGUGAGUAAUACUUAGGAAUCUGCCUAUUAGUGGGGGACAACAUCUCGAAAGGGAUGCUAAUACCGCAUACGUCCUACGGGAGAAAGCAGGGGAUCUUUAUGACCUUGCGCUAAUAGAUGAGCCUAAGUCGGAUUAGCUAGUUGGUGGGGUAAAGGCCUACCAAGGCGACGAUCUGUAGCGGGUCUGAGAGGAUGAUCCGCCACACUGGGACUGAGACACGGCCCAGACUCCUACGGGAGGCAGCAGUGGGGAAUAUUGGACAAUGGGGGGAACCCUGAUCCAGCCAUGCCGCGUGUGUGAAGAAGGCCUUAUGGUUGUAAAGCACUUUAAGCGAGGAGGAGGCUUACCUGGUUAAUACCCAGGAUAAGUGGACGUUACUCGCAGAAUAAGCACCGGCUAACUCUGUGCCAGCAGCCGCGGUAAUACAGAGGGUGCAAGCGUUAAUCGGAUUUACUGGGCGUAAAGCGCGCGUAGGCGGCCAAUUAAGUCAAAUGUGAAAUCCCCGAGCUUAACUUGGGAAUUGCAUUCGAUACUGUUUGGCUAGAGUGUGGGAGAGGAUGGUAGAAUUCCAGGUGUAGCGGUGAAAUGCGUAGAGAUCUGGAGGAAUACCGAUGGCGAAGGCAGCCAUCUGGCCUAACACUGACGCUGAGGUGCGAAAGCAUGGGGAGCAAACAGGAUUAGAUACCCUGGUAGUCCAUGCCGUAAACGAUGUCUACUAGCCGUUGGGGCCUUUGAGGCUUUAGUGGCGCAGCUAACGCGAUAAGUAGACCGCCUGGGGAGUACGG
Molecule: ribosomal RNA, 893 nt
Filed under: Enterococcus faecium
Lineage: Bacteria; Bacillati; Bacillota; Bacilli; Lactobacillales; Enterococcaceae
Description: bacterial SSU rRNA
Rfam family: Bacterial small subunit ribosomal RNA
Source: RNAcentral